This 460-nucleotide ribosomal RNA is filed under the name uncultured bacterium. RNAcentral's name for it is "partial 16S ribosomal RNA". It matches the Rfam family "Bacterial small subunit ribosomal RNA", at positions 338 to 795 of the family's 1533-position model. The record is from RNAcentral.
CCUACGGGAGGCAGCAGUGAGGAAUAUUGGUCAAUGGGCGGGAGCCUGAACCAGCCAAGUCGCGUGAGGGAUGACGGCCCUAUGGGUUGUAAACCUCUUUUGCCGGGGAGCAAAGUGCCGCACGUGUGCGGUUUGGAGAGUACCCGGAGAAAAAGCAUCGGCUAACUCCGUGCCAGCAGCCGCGGUAAUACGGAGGAUGCGAGCGUUAUCCGGAUUUACUGGGUGUAAAGGGCGUGUAGGCGGGAAAGCAAGUCAGAUGUGAAAACCAUGGGCUCAACCUGUGGCCUGCAUUUGAAACUGUUUUUCUUGAGUACUGGAGAGGCAGACGGAAUUCCUAGUGUAGCGGUGAAAUGCGUAGAUAUUAGGAGGAACACCAGUGGCGAAGGCGGUCUGCUGGACAGCAACUGACGCUGAGGCGCGAAAGCGUGGGGAGCAAACAGGAUUAGAUACCCGGGUAGUC